This 72-nucleotide transfer RNA is filed under the name Bos taurus (domestic cattle). It matches the Rfam family "tRNA". Rfam says of the family: Transfer RNA (tRNA) molecules are approximately 80 nucleotides in length. Their secondary structure includes four short double-helical elements and three loops (D, anti-codon, and T loops). Lineage: Eukaryota; Metazoa; Chordata; Mammalia; Artiodactyla; Bovidae. RNAcentral also lists the same sequence under 5 other names. The record is from Rfam by way of RNAcentral.
UCCCUGGUGGUCCAGUGGUUAGAACUCAGUGUUUUCACUUCUGGGGCUCAGGUUCAAUCCCUGGUCAGGGGA